This 440-nucleotide ribosomal RNA is filed under the name Aeromonas veronii. Its description in RNAcentral is "bacterial SSU rRNA". It matches the Rfam family "Bacterial small subunit ribosomal RNA", at positions 1 to 435 of the family's 1533-position model. Lineage: Bacteria; Pseudomonadati; Pseudomonadota; Gammaproteobacteria; Aeromonadales; Aeromonadaceae. The record is from RNAcentral.
AAAUUGAAGAGUUUGAUCAUGGCUCAGAUUGAACGCUGGCGGCAGGCCUAACACAUGCAAGUCGAGCGGCAGCGGGAAAGUAGCUUGCUACUUUUGCCGGCGAGCGGCGGACGGGUGAGUAAUGCCUGGGGAUCUGCCCAGUCGAGGGGGAUAACUACUGGAAACGGUAGCUAAUACCGCAUACGCCCUACGGGGGAAAGCAGGGGACCUUCGGGCCUUGCGCGAUUGGAUGAACCCAGGUGGGAUUAGCUAGUUGGUGAGGUAAUGGCUCACCAAGGCGACGAUCCCUAGCUGGUCUGAGAGGAUGAUCAGCCACACUGGAACUGAGACACGGUCCAGACUCCUACGGGAGGCAGCAGUGGGGAAUAUUGCACAAUGGGGGAAACCCUGAUGCAGCCAUGCCGCGUGUGUGAAGAAGGCCUUCGGGUUGUAAAGCACUU